RNAcentral lists this ribosomal RNA (398 nucleotides) under uncultured bacterium. Its description in RNAcentral is "partial 16S ribosomal RNA". It matches the Rfam family "Bacterial small subunit ribosomal RNA", at positions 523 to 918 of the family's 1533-position model. The record is from RNAcentral.
AUACGUAGGGGGCGAGCGUUGUCCGGAAUGAUUGGGCGUAAAGGGCGCGUAGGCGGCGCGGUAAGUCUGGAGUGAAAGUCCUGCUUUCAAGGUGGGAAUUGCUUUGGAUACUGCCGCGCUUGAGUGCAGGAGAGGUUAUCGGAAUUCCCGGUGUAGCGGUGAAAUGCGUAGAGAUCGGGAGGAACACCAGUGGCGAAGGCGGGUAACUGGACUGCAACUGACGCUGAGGCGCGAAAGUGUGGGGAGCAAACAGGAUUAGAUACCCUGGUAGUCCACACUGUAAACGAUGGAUGCUAGGUGUAAGAUGUAUCGACCCCCUUUUGUGCCGGAGUCAACACAAUAAGCAUUCCGCCUGGGGAGUACGGCCGCAAGGUUGAAACUCAAAUGAAUUGACGGGG